RNAcentral lists this ribosomal RNA (375 nucleotides) under uncultured eukaryote. Its description in RNAcentral is "partial 18S ribosomal RNA". It matches the Rfam family "Eukaryotic small subunit ribosomal RNA", at positions 592 to 976 of the family's 1831-position model. The record is from RNAcentral.
CAAUAGCGUAUAUUUAAGUUGUUGCAGUUAAAAAGUUCGUAGUUGGAUUUCGGUUAAGAGCGACCGGUCCGCCGUUUGGUGUGCACUGGUUGGUUUUAACUUCCUGUAGAGGACGUGCUCUGGGUUUAACGACCUGGACUCGGAGUCUACGUGGUUACUUUGAAAAAAUUAGAGUGUUCAAAGCGGGCUUACGCUUGAAUAUUUCAGCAUGGAAUAACACUAUAGGACUCCUGUCCUAUUUCGUUGGUCUCGGGACGGGAGUAAUGAUUAAGAGGAACAGUUGGGGGCAUUCGUAUUUCAUUGUCAGAGGUGAAAUUCUUGGAUUUAUGAAAGACGAACUUCUGCGAAAGCAUUUGCCAAGGAUGUUUUCAUUAA